CAAAGGAUAUGUGUCUUCCUCCUCUACAUUGAGAUGGUGGCCUUGACUAGCACUACUGGGAGUAGAAUCUCUAAUUCUGGUUCCAAUAUCAGGCAGCUUGCUUGUCUGCAGAUAUAAGCUUCCUUCUCCAGUAUCAGUUUUAUCAACAAUAAAGACCAGCAUGCUGGUACCAGCAUGAACUGUUUCCAUCCAACUGACUUUUGCUGGAGUUUGUGGGAGCCCUUGGUAAGGCUCCUCUCUGGUUUCAAAUCUCCCUGGCUUAGGUGAAAUGCAGACUGUAUUCAAGCAACCUGAUUCCAUACCGGAUGGAGCUGGAAUUGAAGCUUAACUUUAAAGCUUUAAGGAAUCAGUUUGUCCUUGAGUGAGAAUAGAUGAGAGAAAAUGUGGAGCUCCUGACAUAGUAGCAGAGGAAAAAUGAUCACUACCACAGUGUGCUACUCUGAUGCUUCAAAAAGAUCAAGACAUAAUGCUAAAGCCUGAUCAAAAGGCCCCUAUUACUUGCCUGAUGCUAUUCUUGGAGCAACAAGUACUUAGUGCCAGGCAUCUUGGUGAGUAUAUUGAAAACACACAUUGGCAAUUCUAUGACAAUGACUUUUGUUGUUUAAAAUCUGAACUUUAAGUAGUUGCAGAUAGGGAUCAUUUACUGACUAGCAAUAGGGGCCCUCACACAGAGAGGUGACAUCUCAGUAUGGUACAGGAACAGCCUGGGAAUCAUUAAAAAUCAAAGAUAAGCAGAAUUCAGAUAAUGUGUUAUAGAAGAGAUGUUUACCUGAGCAGAACAGAGACUAUUAGACUACUCUCUUAGCUAUUCUUAGCCAACAAUGUUAUAAAGCUAUUCUUAAGUUAUGAAAGAAUUGGACAUUUACAUCAGGAACAUUAUAUAGCAUUUGUUUAUUGUUUAUACAUAAGCAUAGCUAAAUUAGUUCUUAUUUUAUAGUGUUGAUGUAAUCAUUACUUAAAAAUGCUAUUGGUGUUUGAUAUAUGGUGUGGCUCUGUGUCCCCACCCAAAUCUCAUCUCAAACUGUAAUCCCCAUAAUCCCCACGUGUUGAGGGCGGGAUCUGGUGGGGGGUGACUGGAUCAUGGAGGUGGUUUCCUUAUGCUGUUCCUGUGAUAGUGAGUACUCACAAGAUCUGAUAGUUUUAUAAGUGUUUGACAGUUCCUCCUACACACAUGCCCUCUUGUGCCUUGUGAAGAAGGUGCCUGCUUCCCAUUCGCCUUCUGCCAUGAUUGUAAGUUUCACCUGAGGCCUCCUAGCCAUGCUUCUUGUUAAGCCUGUGGAACUGUGAGUCAAUUAAAGCUCCUUUGUUUAUAAAUUACCCAGUCUUGGGUAGUAUCUUUAUAGCAGUGUGAAAACAGACUAAUACAGUGUUUUAAUGAAAUGUGAAGUUAAAGAACCCUCAUCCUGCCCCAACUCCUAUGGCACUGUGGAAUAUAGACAAGUUGUGGACCUCACCUGCCUGAUGCAGUCAUGACUCUGAUACCCAGAGGAGGCAAUGUUAGGUGAACAGCCCCAGUUACUGAGUACUCUUUUAACAAGUCUCAUUUCAAUUUGGCAGUGUGACACACUCUAGAAACCAUAUAAAUGUAGAAAAGUUUUCUUCCUGCACCUCGUUUCUCAUGUUCUCUCCUCCUAACCUCGUUAGGAAAGGAAAACAGAUAGUGGAGCUAUGUCUUGGAGGACAUAAACCAGGAUAAACUACAAUGUAGAGGAAAACUAAACUGAGAUUACUCUAGGCGUCUUUGCCCGUGAGCUGGAGAAGGGCUUGGGGAUUUGGCAAGCAGGCUGUUGGGGAAACGAGAAGAUGCCUCAGACACAGCUGAAUGGCCUAUGGGUGGGGAGGAUGAGGCAGCUAGGGGUUGCGGGUUCUCUUCUUUUUACCCCCAGCAUCAAAGUCUUUGCCUUUGUGAAAGGAGAAAAGUAAAAGUGGGAUUCAGGUGAAAGGGAUGGGAAUAGUGGAGUUAAGGCAAAGUCAGAGGGGAAGGAUGACAGUCAAGAAGGGAGGUAAAGGAAGACAAAAGAUAAAAGACAAUAGGGAAGUACUCAUUCAGCUGAGUAAGCUGGUGUAUAAGUCAGUAAGGGCCAUGCCGUGUGUGUGUGUGUGUGUGUGUGUGUGUGUGUGUGUGUGUGUGUGCUUCAGCCAAGGAACAGACUUUUGGUGUAAUAGUUUCGAUGUGAGCAGAGUACAUUCAUUUCAAUUCCUUUUUUACUUUUGCAGAAAACAUACAAAAGAGAGUUAAGGGAUUAAGAGUGCAGAAUCUGGUGUUGGACAGACAUGGUUUCAAAAUCUGGCUUUGCUACUGUUAGCCGUGUGACCUUAAUUGACUUAUCUAACCUCUCUAAACCUCCUUAUGUUAAAAGUGGAAAAUAGUAAUUUCCCUGUAAUAGGACCGUCCUGAGAAAGAAGCAAGAUAUAUGUGUAAAGCAAUUUGGCAGGUCUGGUACAUAGUAAAUGCUCAUAAUGGUAGCUUUUGUGGCAGCUCUAUCCUCUGACAGAUUGCACAUAUUGAGUGCUGAGUUUGUGCCAGCUCCUUACAUCUAUAUUUAUUUUUUGAUGCAAUGAAGGCUUUCAUUUGUUAUGCAUAUUGACACCAAGAUUUAUGCUUUGUCCAUGUAUUUUGUUUUCAUAUUUUUAUCCAUCCCCAGACUUGACAUGGGCACUAUGAACAUAUUCCAUAUGAACCAAUCACACAAGACCUGUAGUCCAGAUAGAAAUUAGCUACCUUUCUUGUUUUAAGAACAACUUGGUAAUGUUAUGUAAUCAUAAAUUUUUGAGUAGACGUGCUUUAUACUUAUGAGCACACAUAUAUGAGGUACAUAAUAUUUUAAAAUAAAUUUUCCAAAGAUAUGC
This is a long non-coding RNA of Pan troglodytes (chimpanzee), 2850 nucleotides long. RefSeq lists it as uncharacterized. The record is from RefSeq and is a predicted model, not a curated record. The transcript has 4 exons. NCBI's taxonomy places the organism in Eukaryota, Metazoa, Chordata, Mammalia, Primates, Hominidae.